GGAUCCAGACUUUGAUCCUGGCUCAGGAUAAACGCUGGCGGCGCACAUAAGACAUGCAAGUCGAACGAACUUAACCAUUAGUUUACUAUUGGAGCGGUUAGUGGCGGACUGGUGAGUAACACGUAAGCAACCUGCCUAUCAGAGGGGAACAACAGUUAGAAAUGACUGCUAAUACCGCAUAUGCCUUAGAACCACAUGGCUCAAAAGGGAAAGGAGCAAUCCGCUGAUAGAUGGGCUUGCGUCUGACUAGCUAGUUGGUGGGGUAAUGGCCUACCAAGGCAACGAUCAGUAGCCGAACUGAGAGGUUGAACGGCCACAUUGGGACUGAGAUACGGCCCAGACUCCUACGGGAGGCAGCAGUCGGGAAUAUUGCGCAAUGGAGGAAACUCUGACGCAGUGACGCCGCGUGCAGGAAGAAGGUUUUCGGAUUGUAAACUGCUUUAGACAGGGAAGAAAAAAGACAGUA
This 466-nucleotide ribosomal RNA is filed under the name uncultured Bacillota bacterium. RNAcentral describes it as "bacterial SSU rRNA". It matches the Rfam family "Bacterial small subunit ribosomal RNA", at positions 1 to 477 of the family's 1533-position model. Lineage: Bacteria; Bacillati; Bacillota. The record is from RNAcentral.